Molecule: non-coding RNA, 115 nt
Organism: Acanthosepion pharaonis
Lineage: Eukaryota; Metazoa; Mollusca; Cephalopoda; Sepiida; Sepiidae
Source: the annotation of a GenBank genome assembly
UACGGCCACAUCACGUUGAAACACCCGUUCCCGUACGAAAUCACUGAAGUUAAGCAACGUAGAGCGUGGUUAAUACUUCGAUGGGUGACCGCUAGGAUAUACCAGGUGCUGUAAG